UGACACAAUCUGAUCCGGGUGUCAAGAUAACGUUAGCGGGUUCCAGUCGCUAUGUCAUCUCGUCUGUCUCACUACAGCGAGAGCAGAGACGCCGCUGCUUCCUUCAGCUUCGCAGAUGCACUGCUGCUGCGCCAGCUAGUUCCUACAGGAAGAAACGUUGAAUGGAUUCCUCAUAAGGAGGCCGUGUAUUCCAGCUGCAUUCAUAGUUUUGCAAUAUCCAAUCGGUCCACUUCAAAAUAUACGGUUAUUUACAUGCACACAAAAGGAGUCAGCAUGUAUGUAUUCAAUUCAGAGAACCAUUGUACAUCUGUUCAAUUAAAGACAGAUGUGUGUGUAAGAGCUACAGAUGGGUUUAUCUUUGACAGGUUAUUUAUCUGACCUUUGAGUGGAUCAACGUUUGCAGAUAAACAAUCAAUAAUCAACCUUAGUUGCACAUUAUCAGAGAUUCCUGGUAUGUUUGUAGGGUCAGGGUCCUGACAUUUAACAGCCUUGCAAGCCUUGAGAUGUAUUGGAGGCUUGUAGAUUACACGGCAAUCAAUGCAACACUGUUCAGGCUUUGUAACCCAUGUCUGACCUUUAUAAUUUAGGGCAUGUUAAAACUGUAACUGCCACGAGCACUGUUUCUACUAAAUCUGUACAAGAAGUAGUUCAGGGAGACCAGUUAGAAAUUUGUCUUCAUUGUGUUGUAACUUAAAAUGGGUCAGUAGAAUAUCUCCUUUUGUUCUGCUGUACUACAUCGUUAUACCCAUUGUGUAUAAUUUGCAAAACAAAUACUGUGUCCAUAUCUAGUAGUUUACUCAAAGCUUGAGUAGUAAGAUCUUGAUCAGUGUGCAGAUACUUGCUGUGUAUACAACACACAAAUAUGGGAUACAUACCUGCCAAUUGUAGGUGAAACAAAUACAUAUAAAAACAUUUAAAAGCAAAAAUCAUCAGUUUAGUACAUAAACCUGAGUGAGCUUUGUUUAGUGGGAGAUAAAACCUUUUCAAGUAAAUAAUGUGAUAGAUUUAAGAGAGAUAACGUGUUGCUGUGUAAAAUACCUUAAAGGUUACAAAACAUUGUCAACCUCCUCCACCGUUGGUCCGUUUACGACUGGGUGGCGAUGUUGAUGAAGAGAGAUUUCUGUUAAGAGAAAUGUGUAACUUUUAAUGGAGUCAUUUAAAAUUCAGUGAAGUGCUGUAUUGAUGUUAAACAGACUUCAGUGAGAGGAAUUAUGUACGUUACAGUUGUAGUCACCAGACAUACAGUCGUCAGGUUGGAAUAGGAGCAGUCUUGUGUCAAGUGUAACAUUGAAUGAAACACAUUUGUCAUACAUUACAAGAAAAUUUCUACUACAACUGAAAAGACCUUUAUUUUGUGUAUUAGGAUGAACCUUUUUAAUGUACCUACUUCACUUAUGCGUUUUCAUAUUUCACUCAGUUACUUUCAUUAGUGUGUAGAGAAUGUGUCUGAACCUGUUGUGUUCAACUUUACUAUACACAGUGAAGCUGACAAUGCGGACAUAUAAUGAGCAAGAUAACAAGUUUGUCAACUUAAGAAACAGUAAUAGAGUUGCGCCUCUUACCAAACACAGAGCAUGUGUUUCUGCUGCUGCUGUCAGUGGAGAGAAGUAGUUUCUCUUUGCACCAUUUUUAAAGUCAAAGAUGUCACUUGUAUUCAGAAAGGUGGAUAGGAGAAUACAUAAUGUAAUACGAUCCUGCCCACUGUCAGCACUAAAUUUAUUAAAUAGCUGGAUUUCGGUCAAGUUAACUUUGUCAGGCAUUUCUUGACCGAAACUGCUGAGUAUAUUUACCAUAAGUGUUGACAGUGUGCAGGAGCUCUGAUUGUCUGAUUACGAGAUGUUGAUGACAAACCUUUAUGGUUUCCACUGUUUUAGAUUGUUGGGAAACUUUCAUGUAAAUUCUGUUGUAGCUUUGCUAGAGUUAUGUUGACGUUAAGUCACAUUGUCCACAUUUGGACAGAUAUCCAUGAAAGAUUCCUCCACGAGCAGUGUCUAUGUUUACCAGUGGAUUUUUUUCCUGAUCUAUUGUUACUGGGUCAUGCAGCAAUGUGAACAGGUAUGCAUCCGACUACCUGAUGAUGAAAACAGCUUCAUAUUUCUAUGAGAACAAAUACUGUCCUGCUUUCAGAAAGGUCUGAAAUGUAAUUUUCUAUGUCACUGGAUGCUAAUUUGGUCACAUAUAAACGAACUGUGAGUUUCCA
This is a long non-coding RNA of Dicentrarchus labrax (European seabass), 2200 nucleotides long. RefSeq lists it as uncharacterized. The transcript is spliced from 2 exons. NCBI's taxonomy places the organism in Eukaryota, Metazoa, Chordata, Actinopteri, Moronidae. The record is from RefSeq and is a predicted model, not a curated record.